Molecule: ribosomal RNA, 465 nt
Filed under: Vreelandella stevensii
Lineage: Bacteria; Pseudomonadati; Pseudomonadota; Gammaproteobacteria; Oceanospirillales; Halomonadaceae
Description: partial 16S ribosomal RNA
Rfam family: Bacterial small subunit ribosomal RNA
Source: RNAcentral
CCUACGGGGGGCAGCAGUGGGGAAUAUUGGACAAUGGGGGGAACCCUGAUCCAGCCAUGCCGCGUGUGUGAAGAAGGCCCUCGGGUUGUAAAGCACUUUCAGUGAGGAAGAACGCCUGGUGGUUAAUACCCAUCAGGAAAGACAUCACUCACAGAAGAAGCACCGGCUAACUCCGUGCCAGCAGCCGCGGUAAUACGGAGGGUGCGAGCGUUAGUCGGAAUUACUGGGCGUAAAGCGCGCGUAGGUGGCUUGAUAAGCCGGUUGUGAAAGCCCCGGGCUCAACCUGGGAACGGCAUCCGGAACUGUCAAGCUAGAGUGCAGGAGAGGAAGGUAGAAUUCCCGGUGUAGCGGUGAAAUGCGUAGAGAUCGGGAGGAAUACCAGUGGCGAAGGCGGCCUUCUGGACUGAAACUGACACUGAGGUGCGAAAGCGUGGGUAGCAAACAGGAUUAGAUACCCGGGUAGUC